Molecule: ribosomal RNA, 501 nt
Filed under: uncultured bacterium
Lineage: Bacteria
Description: partial 16S ribosomal RNA
Rfam family: Bacterial small subunit ribosomal RNA
Source: RNAcentral
GAUGAACGCUAGCGGCAGGCCUAACACAUGCAAGUCGAGGGGCAGCACAGAAACAGCAAUGUUUUGGUGGCGACCGGCGGACGGGUGCGUAACGCGUAUGCAACCUCCCUUUAACAGGGGGAUAACGGAGAGAAAUUUCCACAAAUACCCCAUAACAUCGAUCAAGGCAUCUUGAUUGGUUGAAAACUCCGGUGGUAAAAGAUGGGGAUGCGUUGUAUUAGGUAGUUGGUGAGGUAAUGGCUCACCAAGGCUACGAUACAUAGGGGGACUGAGGAGUUAGAGCCCCACACUGGUGCUGAGACACGGACCAGACUCCUACGGGAGGCAGCAGUGAGGAAUAUUGGUCAAUGGGGCAACCCUGAACCAGCCAUGCCGCGUGCAGGAAGACGGCUCUAUGAGUUGUAAACUGCUUUUAAACAGGGAUAAAGCACAGUAUGUAUACGGUGUUGAAGGUACUGUAAGAAUAAGGAUCGGCUAACUCCGUGCCAGCAGCCGCCGUAA